RNAcentral lists this ribosomal RNA (253 nucleotides) under uncultured bacterium. RNAcentral describes it as "partial 16S ribosomal RNA". It matches the Rfam family "Bacterial small subunit ribosomal RNA", at positions 524 to 776 of the family's 1533-position model. The record is from RNAcentral.
UACAGAGGUCCCAAGCGUUGUUCGGAUUCACUGGGCGUAAAGGGUGCGUAGGCGGUCGGGUAAGUCUGAUGUGAAAUCUCACAGCUUAACUGUGAAACUGCAUUGGAUACUAUCCGGCUCGAGGAAUGGAGGGGAGACUGGAAUACUUGGUGUAGCAGUGAAAUGCGUAGAUAUCAAGUGGAACACCAGUGGCGAAGGCGGUUCUCUGGGCCUGUACUGACGCUGAGGAGCGAAAGCGUGGGGAGCAAACAGG